AUAGAUGCGAAAAGAAUGUAUUAUAAGUUGUAGAACAAAUGCAAUAAAACAAUACAAUGUAUAAAUGCAUUUGCUCAUUAAGCACUGCAGUCAAUCUGGUAAACCACUAUUAAACAUUAAGCCACUAGGUGGCUAAAGCAAUGAUCAAAUCAGAGGUGAGGCCCACAUUUCUAAGAACCUGUUAUCACCUCAAGAACUUGCAAUACACUUUUGCUUUCACCACUUUUCCUUUCAUCACUCUCUUCAUGUGUUUUUGAACCCGUCAAGAGCCACAUGUCGUCACUUUGUUAUGUUGCCUAAGCAACAGCAGAAGAGAACAUGUUAGGCAGCGUGUUUCUGUGUUACAGCUACUUUAAAGGCACUAGCUUAGUCAAACGGCCAUAGACAACUCUGUACAAAAGAAAAAUCAUAAAUUACUUAAAAUCUCAGUUAUUCCUCCUAAAUAGUGAAUGGAAGACUUUUGCUGAAGUCUCCUACUUCACAGACAUUUUAUCUUGAGAUAAAGAGUUAUCUCACACAUGAAUGUUUCCGAAGAAAUCUCAAAAAUGUAACAAACUGUGCUUCUUGGCACAAAAUUUGCCAAGAUUCCAAAGUCUGUGAUUUUAUUGAACUCGUAUUUCUCACAAAUUCUUCCAUCACUAAAUUAUCUGAGCUAUGCUAUCCACAUUCAUUCAUAUCUCUAUACAGUUAGUGUAACAUAACAUUUGUCUCAUUUGUGUCUAGAUUACAAAUGUACAUGGAACUUAAUAUAGGCCUAUAUGCAUAAGGAUAUAAGUAUACUUUUGAUCCUGUAGGUGAUCAACAAUUCUUUAUUUAAUUUUAUACUACAGGGCCGUUGAAUGCUUAAAUCUGAUUGGCUGACGAACGUUCUAAGGUGUGCAAUUAUUUUCAGGGAAACGCACGGCGAACGUAGUUCCAGGCAGCUCUUGACCGCAUUACAUGACCAUAUCACUUCGCCAAAUGAUUUCUGUUAUUUCAAAGAUACAACAGCAAAAUAACCAAAACCCACAACGACACUGACCAAAUAAAUAAAUAUAGUAAACAAUAUGAUAAAAACGACAGAUCAUGUCCAUGUUUUUGCCACAAAAUUGCGCUUUAUUAUGUACGGAAAGCACAUACUCUAUCUCUCCUGCUCUCUCUCCCUCACAGACCGCACACACAUAACAGUUACAGUUUCCACACACACUAACAUACAUCGCGCUAAUGUUGUUAGCGCUACUCUGACGAUUUUAUCAGUAAACAACUUAAAAACUACAUGAUUUCUCACAAGCGAGGUAACAAUAACGGCGCUGUUCGUGAACAAAAGGAACUAAGUUUCACUAUAACUAGAGACAUUGCUGCCGAACACUAUUGAGAGACGCACAGAGCUUGAGAUCAGACGGCGUGUCAAGCUGAAGCUUCUCGUGCACGAGCAUCUGCUGGAUGCAUGGCUCCACAUCAGUGAAACCAACAAGAUAAAUGUACCGCUGCCAAUUUAAGGUUUCAUUCUUCGUUCUGGUCAGCAAGCAUGUGUUUUGCCUGGAGAAUGUACGUUGCACUGGUCCCAGUGAGAGAAUGAGAGGAAAUGGAAACAGUGAGAGAGAGGGAGACGUAGAGAGUGAACUGAGCUAUUUUUAGGAGUUGCUCACAGGAAGUGAAAGCCUCAGGCCCAUGCUUAACUGGUGCUUGACUGGUACCCACUGAGAGAGAGCAAGAGAGAAAGAGAACGAGA
This is a long non-coding RNA of Onychostoma macrolepis, 1711 nucleotides long. RefSeq lists it as uncharacterized. The transcript has 3 exons. The record is from RefSeq and is a predicted model, not a curated record. Lineage: Eukaryota; Metazoa; Chordata; Actinopteri; Cypriniformes; Cyprinidae.